UACACCCAACCUCUGCUA
RNAcentral lists this transfer RNA (18 nucleotides) under Aspidoscelis gularis. Its description in RNAcentral is "partial tRNA-Met". The record is from RNAcentral. Lineage: Eukaryota; Metazoa; Chordata; Lepidosauria; Squamata; Teiidae.